Molecule: small nucleolar RNA, 211 nt
Filed under: Erinaceus europaeus (western European hedgehog)
Lineage: Eukaryota; Metazoa; Chordata; Mammalia; Eulipotyphla; Erinaceidae
Description: Small nucleolar RNA SNORA73 family (ENSEEUG00000023747.1)
Source: RNAcentral
CCAACAUGGAUGCAACCGGGGAAAUGUCUCCUCUAGGAUACUGUGCAGGUGGCAUUGGAGGGAUAAGGCUCUGCCCCAUGAUGGACAGCCCCUGUCCGUAGCUUUGGCAAUGAAGCCUGGCCUUGUGUCUGUGUCUCCCUCCAUUAGCCUGUAAGCUUCUGAGAGUCCCUGGGUGAUGAAUAAGAAGGAACAUCACAAGCUGGAGAUAGAC